GACGAACGCUGGCGGCGCGCUUAACACAUGCAAGUCGAACGGAAAGGCCUGCUUUCCCUUGUGGAUUGCGGGUACUCGAGUGGCGAACGGGUGAGUAACACGUGAGUGAUCUGCCCCCAACUUGGGUAUAAGCCUGGGAAACUGGGUCUAAUUCCCGAUAGGACUGCAGGGUGGUGCCUGUGGUGGAAAACGAUUUUCUAGUGGUUGGGGAUGAGCUCGCGGCCUAUCAGCUUGUUGGUGGGGUAAUGGCCUACCAAGGCGGCGACGGGUAGCCGGCCUGGGAGGGUGGACGGCCGCAUUGGGACUGAGAUACGGCCCCGACGCCUACGGGAGGCAGCAGUGGGGAGUAUUGCACAAUGGGCGGAAGCCUGAGGCAGCGACGCCGCGUGGGGGAUGACGGCCUUCGGGUUGUAAACUCCUUUCGACCGCGAGGAAGCCACCUGGUUGGAAGGGUGGUGACGGUAGUGGUAGAAGAAGCACCGGCUAGCUACGUG
Molecule: ribosomal RNA, 494 nt
Filed under: uncultured bacterium
Lineage: Bacteria
Description: partial 16S ribosomal RNA
Rfam family: Bacterial small subunit ribosomal RNA
Source: RNAcentral